CUAAAAACCAAAGACCAAUGUACUGCUCACUUUGUUGAGGGGUCGCUAUUUCUCAUUUCUGGAAGCUCUGAGAUUGUCAGCGCAGGGAUGUGGAGAGGGCUGAGUGUGGUGUUCCCCAAUCAGUGAGAGCUACAGAAGUUAGAAGGAUCAAUGACAGACCAGCCUGACUUACCAAGUAAGAGAGAUACUACACUAUGAUGUCCUCCUUCCUCCUUCCCUCCUACCCACACUUACAAGAAAUCACAAACAUACUACAAACAGUAACAGAGCAAAGCCAAAUUAGCCUCUGCGGUUCUGUAGUGAGCCCCACGUGAAUAAACAUGAGACAUUAAGAAGUGUAAAGAAAAUAAUCAGGCUCAUUUACCAGGUGAAAAAUUUUAAAUGACAACAACUCUUAAGAGAGUCUUAUUUUUUUUCUUUAUUUUGUACAGCAUAAAUAUCAUUAGCAUAAACUCUUCCAAUUUAAAACGAGUUUCUUCAUGCAUGAUCUAAGCUGAAAUUUAUCUUCAUUCUGGAAAAAACGGUUUCUUAAGAAAAAUACUACAUUAAAGAAACAGCGAGAGAAAUUUUCACCAUUUUAAGCACUUCAAACUACUAAAAAGAUGUCAAGCUACUGAGGCUGAAGUGAAAUUUUCUAAACUUUCCCACAAGUUGACCCAAAUUCUUUGAGAAAUAAACAGAAAAAUGCCAUGUACUUGGAGAUGCACAAAAGCUCCCAUGUUUGAAACAAACAAAAAAAGAGAAAGAUUUUAGAAAUCACAGACCAAUAUGCUUGACAUCAGCCCUAGGGAAAAUUAAAAGUCCUUGAGUGAAUCAUGAAGCAAUAAAGAAAUCACUAGAAGUCAAUAAAUAUUCAUCAAGAACAAGUAAUAGAAAAUGAAGUGAUUUGCUUUUUUAUAGAUUAGUAAUUAUUUAUAGACUACUGUCAGGGACAUGAUGAAGGUCAGGUGUCUCUUCCUCCUCCCAAAGCAUUUAAGAUUCAAAACCAUCACAGCAGGUUAUAGUAGCAAUUCUCGACCCUGGCUACACAUCAGAGUCACCUGAGAAGCUUGACAUACCCAGGCCUCUAUACCAGUGAUUCAGAUGUUGAUCUGAGGCAGAGCUGAGCAGAAGUAUGUUUUUAUAGCUCCCUAGAGGAUUUUAAUGUGCAGGCAGGAUUAAGAUAAGACAUUUAGGUUCAAAUACUCAAGUGUAUGAAUGUGGACACAGAAAUACUUAUUUUGGAAGUGAUUUUCUUGCAGGUGACUCGGUAGGGUUUAAUUAGUAAGUCACAAGCAAUGGGACACACUAGUAAGAUAUUAGUGCUACAUAAAGGUAACUGCUCAAGUAAAAAUAAAGAAGUAAAAAACCAAGGAAGAGAAGAGUAUUGCGUUUGUCCUGUUUCUGCAUAUUCAAUACCUCGUUCAAGGGUUCUCACACAGCAGAUGCUGGGCAGACAUAGGAGGAAUCAAUAAUGUCAGCAUAUUGUUCAAUAAUAAAUACAUCAUGUUUUUACAAAUUUAUAACUUAUGAAUAAUUCUUCACAUAUAUCAUCCUAUCUGAUAUGCAAUCAUCUAGGGCUGAGAGGUAAAUUAUCAUCUUCUAUUAGUAACAAGUAAUCUCUGCUAGAGGGACUAUUUUGAGGCAGUUAUUCAUCGGAACACAAAUAAAUGCUCUUCUUCCACAUGCCAGCCCUUAAAAUUAACACAUUCCUCCAUCUUUUCUUCGCCAGCCAAUAAGUCCUUCGAACUUUCAGGUGUUCCUCACAGGACAAGUUUUCAAUUUUUAAUCAGCGUUUCUCAAUGUGCAUAGGGGAUGGGCAAUUCACUGCGCUGAACUGUUCUGCACUCCUGUUAAGACAUUUAUCAUCCCUUGCCUCUAGGGCACUAUGUGCCAGCAACAACUCAACUACUAUAAUCAUUUAAAUAAUCCCACACAUUUUCAAACGCUGCCCUCUCUCCUAAGGUGGGGGCAGUGCUGCCAACACUUUACAACCACUGCCUUAUCCUGUUUAAUCCACCAUCUUUUUUUGUUUGUUUGGUUUUGAGAUGGAGUCUUGCUCUGUUGCCCAGGCUGGAGUGCACUGGCAUGAUCUCUGCUCACUGCAACCUCUGCCUCCCAGGUUCAAGCAAUUCUUUUGCCUCAGUCCCCUGAAUUACAGGUGCAUGCCACCAUGCCUGGCUAAUUUUUACAUUUUUAGUAAAGCCAGGGUUUCACCAUUUUGGCCAGGUUGGUCUCAAACUCCUGACCUCAGGUGAUCCAUCCACCUCGGCCUCCCAAACUGCAGACAUGAGCCAUGGCACCUAGUCUAAUCCGCCAUCUUUUAUAGUAGCAUUGUUUGGUACAGUAGCCACUAGCCCUAUGUGAGUAUUCAAAUAUAACUAAAAAUUCAAUUUCUCAGUCUCGCUAUAGCCACAUUUCAAGAGCUCAACAGCCACUUGUGACUAGUGGCUACCAUAUGGACAGUGAAGAUAGAAAAUUUUUCCAAACCACAGAAAAUUUUACUGAAUAGCACUGUAUCUAGAAUCCAGACAAGGCUUCAACUGUUUACUAGAUUUCAGUUCUUAAUAUUGGCUUAAUCGCUUAGUAUUUCUGUACCUUGUGGACAUGGAGAAGAAACAAAAUUACAAGGUUACAGAGCUACUGGUUGUUGUUAUUUAAUAGGCUAAUAAAGAAGCACUUAUGGCCGGGCGUGGUGGCUCACGUCUGUAAUCCCAGCACUUUGAGAGUCCGAGGUGGGCAGAUC
This 2725-nucleotide long non-coding RNA is filed under the name Homo sapiens (human). RNAcentral describes it as "HSALNT0303709". The record is from RNAcentral. Lineage: Eukaryota; Metazoa; Chordata; Mammalia; Primates; Hominidae.